Molecule: unclassified non-coding RNA, 403 nt
Filed under: uncultured Cephalotrichum
Lineage: Eukaryota; Fungi; Ascomycota; Sordariomycetes; Microascales; Microascaceae
Description: sequence contains ITS2
Rfam family: 5.8S ribosomal RNA (bases 1-154)
Source: RNAcentral
AACUUUCGGCAAUGGAUCUCUUGGUUCUGGCAUCGAUGAAGAACGCAGCGAAAUGCGAUAAGUAAUGUGAAUUGCAGAAUUCAGUGAACCAUCGAAUCUAUGAACGCACAUUGCGCCCGGCAGUAAUCUGCCGGGCAUGCCUGUCCGAGCGUCAUUUCUGCCCUCGAGCCGGUCCAGCAUCUAGGUGCUGCUCCGGCCCGGCGUUGGGGCACUACGGGAAGCCUCGUGCUAUCCCCCGUAGGCCCCGAAAUGAAGUGGCGGUCCUGCCGCGGCUCCCCCUGCGUAGUAUUACAGCUCGCUUCGGGACCCGGUGGAGGCCUGCAGUCAAACCUUACUCUCUAAGUUUGACCUCGGAUCAGGUAGGGUUACCCGCUGAACUUAAGCAUAUCAAUAAGCGGAGGCU